Alkanindiges sp. is the source of this 182-nucleotide non-coding RNA. NCBI's taxonomy places the organism in Bacteria, Pseudomonadati, Pseudomonadota, Gammaproteobacteria, Moraxellales, Moraxellaceae. The record is from Rfam.
CUUAAUCUGAAGUGUUCGCCAGUGUGUCCUAAUCCCCUGAGCCGAUAUCAACACGUAUGGAUGCGGUCUGCUGACUUUGUGUGCAUGUCUACCCCGAGUAGAAAGCCUGUAAGUUGGCGUCGCCUCCGCCUUGAACUUUAGGGUUCAAGGGUAACGACACACAGCGGCACUUUGGAGCUUUU